GUCUAGGGUAGCCUAGUGGACAUGGCAUCUGCCCGGUAAGCGGAACAAUGUGGGUUCGAUUCCCAUCCCUGGACA
This is a non-coding RNA of Cordylochernes scorpioides, 75 nucleotides long. The record is from the annotation of a GenBank genome assembly. NCBI's taxonomy places the organism in Eukaryota, Metazoa, Arthropoda, Arachnida, Pseudoscorpiones, Chernetidae.